Molecule: unclassified non-coding RNA, 145 nt
Filed under: soil metagenome
Description: partial internal transcribed spacer 1
Source: RNAcentral
UAAUAGUGUAUUUAUGGCACUUUUUAAAUCCAUAUCCACCUUGUGUGCAAUGUCAGUCGAUCUUCUUCAUGGAGAUCGACCAAACAUCAACCUUUAUCUUUUAACUCUUUGUCUAGAAAAUAUUAUGAAUAAACAAUUCAAAAUA